RNAcentral lists this ribosomal RNA (492 nucleotides) under uncultured bacterium. Its description in RNAcentral is "partial 16S ribosomal RNA". It matches the Rfam family "Bacterial small subunit ribosomal RNA", at positions 29 to 507 of the family's 1533-position model. The record is from RNAcentral.
AGUGAACGCUGUCGGUCUUCCUAACACCUUCAAUUCGAACUUCAGCACAGUAAGAGCUUUCUCUUACUGUUGGCGAGUGGCGGACGGGUGAGGAAUACAUCUUAAUCUACUUUUUCGUGGGGGAUAACGUAGGGAAACUUACGCUAAUACCGCAUACGACCUACGGGUGAAAGCAGGGGAUCUUCGGACCUUGCGCGAUUGAAUGAGCCGAUGUCGGAUUAGCUAGUUGGCGGGGUAAAGGCCCACCAAUGCUCCUCUCCGUAGCUGGUCUGAGAGGAUGAGGACAAACAAUGGAACUGAGAAACGGUCCAGACCACGAAGGGAGGCAGCAGGUGGGAAUAUUGGACAAUGGGCGCAAGCCUGAUCCAGCCAUACCGCGUGGGUGAAGAAGGCCUUCGGAGUUUAAAGCAAUUUUGUUGGGAAAGAAAAGCAGCAGGUUAAUACCCCGCUGUUCUGACGGUACCCAAAGAAUAAGCAACGGCUAACUUCGUG